GACGAACGCUGGCGGCGUGCUUAACACAUGCAAGUCGAACGGUGAAAGGGAGCUUGCUCCCUGGAUCAGUGGCGAACGGGUGAGUAACACGUGGGCAACCUGCCCCAGACUUCGGGAUAACGCUUCGAAAGAGGUGCUAAUACCGGAUACGAACUCCUUGGGCAUCCUUGGAGUUGGAAAGUUUUUCGGUCUGGGAUGGGCCCGCGGCCUAUCAGCUUGUUGGUGAGGUAACGGCUCACCAAGGCGACGACGGGUAGCCGGCCUGAGAGGGCGACCGGCCACACUGGGACUGAGACACUGCCCAGACUCCUACGGGAGGCAGCAGUGGGGAAUAUUGCGCAAUGGGCGAAAGCCUGACGCAGCAACGCCGCGUGAGGGAUGACGGCCUUCGGGUUGUAAACCUCUUUCAGCAGGGAAGAAGCGAAAGUGACGGUACCUGCAGAAGAAGCACCGGCUAACUACGUGCCAGCAGCCGUCGUAA
This 481-nucleotide ribosomal RNA is filed under the name uncultured bacterium. Its description in RNAcentral is "partial 16S ribosomal RNA". It matches the Rfam family "Bacterial small subunit ribosomal RNA", at positions 28 to 523 of the family's 1533-position model. The record is from RNAcentral.